ACUAGAUGGACUCUUUCUCAAAAACAAUUUAUUAAAUUUUACUUUUUAGUAAAAAGGCUAAAAUAUUUCUCUUAGACAAGAAGACCCUAUGAAGUUUUAUAUAUUUGGAAUAUAAAAAUUCUUAGUUAUAUUUUGCUGGGGCGGCAAGCAAGUUAUUCAUUGUUUAAAUUUUAAUACUAAAGAGUGAGAAUAACCAAAACUUUUGAAGUAAAAACAAAUUACUCUAGGGAUAACAGCGUAAUUUAGUUUGAAAGUUCUUAUUGACAACUAAGUUUGCGACCUCGAUGUUGGAUUAAAAGUCCUUUUCUGUGUAUAAGUGGAGUAAGGAGGUCUGUUCGACCUUAAAACUUUUCCA
RNAcentral lists this ribosomal RNA (355 nucleotides) under Parabuthus brevimanus. RNAcentral's name for it is "partial large subunit ribosomal RNA". The stretch from base 44 to 355 matches the Rfam family "Bacterial large subunit ribosomal RNA", at positions 2048 to 2600 of the family's 2925-position model. The record is from RNAcentral. Lineage: Eukaryota; Metazoa; Arthropoda; Arachnida; Scorpiones; Buthidae.